This 253-nucleotide ribosomal RNA is filed under the name uncultured bacterium. Its description in RNAcentral is "partial 16S ribosomal RNA". It matches the Rfam family "Bacterial small subunit ribosomal RNA", at positions 524 to 776 of the family's 1533-position model. The record is from RNAcentral.
UACGGAGGGGGCGAGCGUUGUUCGGAAUUACUGGGCGUAAAGGGCGCGUAGGCGGCCUGGCAAGUCGAAUGUGGAAUCCCAUGGCUCAACCACGGAAUGGCGUUCGAAACUGCCGGGCUCGAGUGCGGGAGAGGAGAGUGGAAUUCCCAGUGUAGCGGUGAAAUGCGUAGAUAUUGGGAGGAACACCGGUGGCGAAGGCGGCUCUCUGGAACGCAACUGACGCUGAGGCGCGAAAGCGUGGGGAGCAAACAGG